AUUGAACGCUGGCGGCAGGCCUAACACAUGCAAGUCGAGCGGAGCGGCGGACGGGUGAGUAAUGCCUAGGAAUCUGCCUGGUAGUGGGGGAUAACGUCCGGAAACGGGCGCUAAUACCGCAUACUAUCAGAUGAGCCUAGGUCGGAUUAGCUAGGUGGUGGGGUAAAGGCCUACCAAGGCGACGGUCCGUAACUGGUCUGAGAGGAUGAUCAGUCACACUUGAACCGGAACCCGGCCCAGGAUCCUACGGGAGGCAGCAGGGGGGAAUAUUGGACAAUGGGCCAAAGCCCGAUCCAGCCAUGCCGCGGGUGUGAAGAAGGUCUUCGGGUUGUAAAGCACUUUAAGUUGGGAGGCGUUACCCGCAGAAGAAGCACCGGCUAACUCCGUGCCAGCAGCCGCGGUAAUAC
Molecule: ribosomal RNA, 407 nt
Filed under: uncultured bacterium
Lineage: Bacteria
Description: partial 16S ribosomal RNA
Rfam family: Bacterial small subunit ribosomal RNA
Source: RNAcentral